This 447-nucleotide ribosomal RNA is filed under the name uncultured bacterium. Its description in RNAcentral is "partial 16S ribosomal RNA". It matches the Rfam family "Bacterial small subunit ribosomal RNA", at positions 29 to 523 of the family's 1533-position model. The record is from RNAcentral.
AACGAACGCUGGCGGCAGGCUUAACACAUGCAAGUCGAGCGCCCCGCAAGGGGAGCGGCAGACGGGUGAGUAACGCGUGGGAAUCUACCCAUCACUACGGAACAACUCCGGGAAACUGGAGCUAAUACCGUAUACGUCCUUCGGGAGAAAGGUUUAUCGGUGAUGGAGGAGCCCGCGUUGGAUUAGGUAGGUGGUGGGGUAAUGCCCCACCAAGGCGACGAUCCAUAGCUGGUCUGGGGGGAUGAUCAGCCACACGGGAACUGAGACACGGCCCAGACUCCUACGGGAGGCAGCAGUGGGGAAUAUUGGUCAAUGGGCGCAAGCCUGAUCCAGCCAUGCCGCGUGAGUGAUGAAGGCCCUGGGGUUGUAAAGCUCUUUCACCGGUGAAGAUAAUGACGGUAACCGAAGAAGAGGCCCCGGCUAACUUCGUGCCAGCAGCCGCCGUAA